GGGGGCGUCAUGGUUUCGACGUGUUUGGUGAACGUGGAGUAGCGUGCUGAGGUCUCGAUCCUCGUAAAUCUUCGAGAACAUUUUUAGCUGCCAACGAUAAUCUGGCGCUGGCUGCGUAAGCUUUCUUACG
RNAcentral lists this transfer-messenger RNA (130 nucleotides) under Gemmatimonadota bacterium. RNAcentral's name for it is "Gemmatimonadetes bacterium (marine metagenome) partial transfer-messenger RNA". It matches the Rfam family "transfer-messenger RNA", at positions 1 to 137 of the family's 374-position model. Rfam says of the family: Bacterial tmRNA, also known as 10Sa RNA or SsrA, is named for its dual tRNA and mRNA-like properties. Its role is to liberate the mRNA from a stalled ribosome. The record is from RNAcentral. Lineage: Bacteria; Pseudomonadati; Gemmatimonadota.